This 341-nucleotide ribosomal RNA is filed under the name Drosophila ornatifrons. Its description in RNAcentral is "eukaryotic LSU rRNA". The record is from RNAcentral. Lineage: Eukaryota; Metazoa; Arthropoda; Insecta; Diptera; Drosophilidae.
GCCCGAUGAACCUGAAUAUCCGUUAUGGAAAAUUCAUCAUUAGAAUUGUAAUAUUUAAUCAAUAUUAUAAUAAUAGUGUGCAUUUUUUCCAUAUAAGGACAUUGUAAUCUAUUAGUUAAAAUUAAUUUAUCAAAAAAUUGUAGAUAAGUGCUUAUUUAAAUUAAAAUGCUUGCGUUUUAACAUAAAAUAAAUUUCAUAAAUUUGAUAAAGUGCUGAUAGAUUUAUAUGAGUACAGUGCGUUAAUUUUUCGGAAUUAUAUAAUGGCAUAAUUAUCAUUGAUUUUUGUGUUUAUUAUAUGCACUUGUAUGAUUAACAAUGCGAAAGAUUCAGGAUACUUCGGG